This 253-nucleotide ribosomal RNA is filed under the name uncultured bacterium. RNAcentral's name for it is "partial 16S ribosomal RNA". It matches the Rfam family "Bacterial small subunit ribosomal RNA", at positions 524 to 776 of the family's 1533-position model. The record is from RNAcentral.
UACGUAGGGUGCAGGCGUUAAUCGGAAUUACUGGGCGUAAAGCGUGCGCAGGCGGCUAUGCAAGACAGAUGUGAAAUCCCCGGGCUCAACCUGGGAACUGCAUUUGUGACUGCAUGGCUAGAGUACGGUAGAGGGGGAUGGAAUUCCGCGUGUAGCAGUGAAAUGCGUAGAUAUGCGGAGGAACACCGAUGGCGAAGGCAAUCCCCUGGACCUGUACUGACGCUCAUGCACGAAAGCGUGGGGAGCAAACAGG